AUACGGAGGGGGCUAGCGUUGUUCGGAAUUACUGGGCGUAAAGCGCGCGUAGGCGGAUUGACAAGUUGGAGGUGAAAUCCCGGGGCUCAACCCCGGAACUGCCUUCAAAACUGUCAGUCUUGAGUUCGGAAGAGGUGAGUGGAAUUCCUAGUGUAGAGGUGAAAUUCGUAGAUAUUAGGAAGAACACCAGUGGCGAAGGCGACUCACUGGUCCGAUACUGACGCUGAGGUGCGAAAGCGUGGGGAGCAAACAGGAUUAGAAACCCUAGUAGUCC
Molecule: ribosomal RNA, 274 nt
Filed under: uncultured bacterium
Lineage: Bacteria
Description: partial 16S ribosomal RNA
Rfam family: Bacterial small subunit ribosomal RNA
Source: RNAcentral